This 324-nucleotide ribosomal RNA is filed under the name uncultured Bacillota bacterium. RNAcentral describes it as "bacterial SSU rRNA". It matches the Rfam family "Bacterial small subunit ribosomal RNA", at positions 28 to 352 of the family's 1533-position model. Lineage: Bacteria; Bacillati; Bacillota. The record is from RNAcentral.
GACGAACGCUGGCGGCGUGCUUAACACAUGCAAGUCGAGCGAUGAAGCUCCUUCGGGAGUGGAUUAGCGGCGGACGGGUGAGUAACACGUGGGCAACCUGCCUUAUAGAGAGGAAUAGCCAUCCGAAAGGAUGAUUAAUACCUCAUAAUAUUGUAGUUUCGCAUGAAACACAAUCAAAGGAGCAAUCCACUAUAAGAUGGGCCCGUGGCGCAUUAGCUAGUUGGUGAGGUAACGGCUCACCAAGGCGACGAUGCGUAGCCGACCUGAGAGGGUGAUCGGCCACAUUGGGACUGAGACACGGCCCAGACUCCUACGGGUGGCUGG